Molecule: ribosomal RNA, 252 nt
Filed under: uncultured bacterium
Lineage: Bacteria
Description: partial 16S ribosomal RNA
Rfam family: Bacterial small subunit ribosomal RNA
Source: RNAcentral
UACGGAGGAUGCGAGCAUUAUCCGGAUUUAUUGGGUUUAAAGGGUGCGCAGGCGGCACGGCAAGCCGGCGGUCAAAUCGCGGGGCUCAACCCCGCCCAGCCGUCGGAACUGCCGGGCUAGAGUGGGCGAGAAGUGCGCGGAAUGCGUGGUGUAGCGGUGAAAUGCAUAGAUAUCACGCAGAACUCCGAUUGCGAAGGCAGCGCACCGGUGCCCUACUGACGCUCAGGCACGAAAGCGUGGGUAUCGAACAGG